Molecule: small nuclear RNA, 196 nt
Organism: Homalodisca vitripennis (glassy-winged sharpshooter)
Lineage: Eukaryota; Metazoa; Arthropoda; Insecta; Hemiptera; Cicadellidae
Product: U2 spliceosomal RNA
Exons: 1
Source: RefSeq, a predicted model, not a curated record
AUGACUUGUGAUCUUGAUGGGGAAAGUAAUAAAGACAAAAAAGAAAGGCCCAAAAUAUCAUCUUAACAUCAAAUACGUUCCUCAUCGAGGGACCAGUUUGUUAAACUUAUGUUUGGAAAAUGACGGAGUGCUAGGAGCUUGCUCCAUCUCCGGGUUGAUCCGGCAUUGCAGUACCGCCGGGACCGGCCCACGAAAU